UGGGGAAUUUUGGACAAUGGGCGAAAGCCUGAUCCAGCAAUGCCGCGUGUGUGAAGAAGGCCUUCGGGUUGUAAAGCACUUUUGUCCGGAAAGAAAUCCUUGGCUCUAAUACAGUCAGGGGAUGACGGUACCGGAAGAAUAAGCACCGGCUAACUACGUGCCAGCAGCCGCGGUAAUACGUAGGGUGCAAGCGUUAAUCGGAAUUACUGGGCGUAAAGCGUGCGCAGGCGGUUUGCUAAGACCGAUGUGAAAUCCCCGGGCUCAACCUGGGAACUGCAUUGGUGACUGGCAGGCUAGAGUAUGGCAGAGGGGGGUAGAAUUCCACGUGUAGCAGUGAGAUGCGUAGAGAUGUGGAGGAAUACCGAUGGCGAAGGCAGCCCCCUGGGCCAAUACUGACGCUCAUGCACGAAAGCGUGGGGAGCAAACAGGAUUAGAUACCCUGGUAGUCCACGCCCUAAACGAUGUCAACUAGUUGUUGGGGAUUCAUUUCCUUAGUAACGUAGCUAACGCGUGAAGUUGACCGCCUGGGGAGUACGGUCGCAAGAUUAAAACUCAAAUGAAUUGACGGGGUCAUAGCUGUUUCCU
RNAcentral lists this ribosomal RNA (585 nucleotides) under uncultured bacterium. RNAcentral describes it as "partial 16S ribosomal RNA". It matches the Rfam family "Bacterial small subunit ribosomal RNA", at positions 355 to 1375 of the family's 1533-position model. The record is from RNAcentral.